Long non-coding RNA from Oncorhynchus nerka (sockeye salmon), 1504 nucleotides. RefSeq lists it as uncharacterized. The record is from RefSeq and is a predicted model, not a curated record. The transcript has 4 exons. Lineage: Eukaryota; Metazoa; Chordata; Actinopteri; Salmoniformes; Salmonidae.
CGGCGCAGAACCUGCAAUUCCCCAAAAUCGACCACAUUUCUGCAACGUUCACCUGUGGGCCACAGCUCUUCAAGGCCAACCUCUGCCGCUGUUAUGCCAUGACCAACGGGGUAAAGACCCAUAAGUUGUUAGUUGUGGAGAGCUGUAUGGUACAGUGGUACUGAAGGAGGAAGACUGUGUCGUGAGACGGUCCCAGAGCAUCUCAACCUGAGGAGCAGUGAAGUCUCCACAGAGAGCUUCAGGGUCACCUGGGAACACUCAGGCCAAGACGUGCUCCUUUACAGACUGUUCUGGAUCCCAACCAGAGGGGGAGACACUAAAGAAGUCUGUCUGUCAGGUUUUCUGUCUGUGAAGAUGCCGAUGAAUGGUAACAUGAACACCUACAUUGAAUACAAGGAGGCAAGUUUGAAAGUGACACCAUGACCAUCAAAGUGUCAACAGGUAAACUACAGGAUAUAUAGCUAAUGUAACCGCUCUCAAAAGACUUUGUAAUUGCACUUUUGCACAUUGAGCAUAACAGGGUCAAUGUAGUUGAUUAUAGUUGAGUAUGUAUAGUAUAGUGAUACUAUUGGGUAACGUUUAGGUGGAAAAAGACUUGGGUUUACCAAAAAAUUAUACAAAAAAGACAGCAGAGUUUACAAAAAUAUUACAUGAGGAACAAUUUAGAAAUAACUUGAAAUGGGAAUUUUUAUGUUUGUGCUUUUCUGAUAACUAAUUUCUGUGUUUGUGCAAGUGACUGAUUUAACGAAUCCUCACCUAUCAGUAUCUGCAAUUUGGCAGUACACCCAGACCUUGUUUUGAGAAAGAACAAAAUAUAUCUCAGUUUCAAGGUCUCAGUUUAGAGAGAAGAAGCCUCGUGAGGUGUUGGUCUGCCACAUGUUAUGAACCAGUAUUGGUCGGUGACAUGAAUGAAACAAAACGGUAAUGAUUAAUUAUGCUAAAUCAUACAAAUAUAAUUUGUCUGUGUAUAGCCGUAUAUAAGACAACUGCUGGAACUGUCCAGGAAGAGCUUGUGAUUGACUUGUGUAUUAUGGUGCCGUUACACCCUGAUCUGUUUCACCUGUCUUUGUGCUUGUCUCCACACCCACCAGGUGUCUCCCAUCUCCCCUCAUUAUCCCCUGUGUAUUUAUACCUGUGUUCUCUGUUUGUCAAUUUGUUUUGUACUUCAAGCCUACCAGCUGUUUACCCGUUGCGCCUGUCUUAUCUAUAGUUCCUGUUUUCCCGGUUUUGACCAUUCUGCCUGCUCUGACCCUGCCUGCCGUCCUGUACCUUGCCCCACUACACUGGAUUAUUGACCUCUGCCUGCCCUGAGACUGUCUGCCGUUCUGUACCUUUUGGACACUCUGGAUUACUGACCUUUGCCUGCCCUUGACCUGUCAUUUUGCCUGGCCCCUGUUCUAGUAAUAAAAUGUUGUUACUUCGACACUGUCUGGGUCUUCCCUAAAACGUGGUAGGUGCAUUGAGUUGGUUGGAACCUCUCCAGCACACUUACAAUAAAUUAUGA